RNAcentral lists this ribosomal RNA (429 nucleotides) under Chloroflexota bacterium. Its description in RNAcentral is "Chloroflexi bacterium partial 16S ribosomal RNA". It matches the Rfam family "Bacterial small subunit ribosomal RNA", at positions 355 to 776 of the family's 1533-position model. Lineage: Bacteria; Bacillati; Chloroflexota. The record is from RNAcentral.
UGGGGAAUAUUGCACAAUAGGCGCAAGCCUGAUGCAGCCAUGCCGCGUGUGUGAAGAAGGCCUUCGGGUUGUAAAGCACUUUCAGCGGGGAGGAAGGCGAUAAGGUUAAUAACCUUGUCGAUUGACGUUACCCGCAGAAGAAGCACCGGCUAACUCCGUGCCAGCAGCCGCGGUAAUACGGAGGGUGCAAGCGUUAAUCGGAAUUACUGGGCGUAAAGCGCACGCAGGCGGUUUGUUAAGUCAGAUGUGAAAUCCCCGGGCUCAACCUGGGAACUGCAUCUGAUACUGGCAAGCUUGAGUCUCGUAGAGGGGGGUAGAAUUCCAGGUGUAGCGGUGAAAUGCGUAGAGAUCUGGAGGAAUACCGGUGGCGAAGGCGGCCCCCUGGACGAAGACUGACGCUCAGGUGCGAAAGCGUGGGGAGCAAACAGG